This 6538-nucleotide long non-coding RNA is filed under the name Sus scrofa (pig). RNAcentral describes it as "lncRNA (ENSSSCG00040009283.1)". Lineage: Eukaryota; Metazoa; Chordata; Mammalia; Artiodactyla; Suidae. The record is from RNAcentral.
GCAUAUGGAAGUUUCCACGCUAGGGGUAAAAUCAGAGCUACAGCUGCCAGCCUACACCACAGCCACAGCAACACAGGAUCCAAGCCACAUCUGCGACCUACACCACAGUUCACGGCAACACUAGAUCCUUAACCCACUGAGUGAGGCCAGGGAUUGAACCUGCAUCCUCAUGGGUCCUAGUCGGGUUCAUUAACCACUGAGCCACGAAGGGAACUCCCCACCUGUGCCUUUUUAUGCAUGAAUUUUCUUCUUAGAGUUGGUAGGAAAGCCUAUGUGUUGCUCUGAACCUCUCUGACCUCUAUCUGGAAACUUGAGACUGUCUUUUAAAGAGUGCAUUUGGUCAGGCCUACCCAGGACAAUCUCCCUUUGGAAUAACUUAAAAUCAACUGAUAAGGGACCUUAAUGACAUUUCCAAGAUCCUUCCGUCUUUGCUAUAUAACAUAACCUAAUCAUGGGAGUAAGACGUCUUCAUACUCAUAGUCAUGUUCCUGCCCACACUCAAUGACACAGAGAAUGUAUACCCAGGGAUGAGAACCUUGGGAACUGUUAUAAACUGCAUGGUUUCUAUCGGUCUUGUUAUUUGCAAGUAAUGGAUAUACUUAUUUAUAGUAGCUGCUUGACCCCAAACAAGCUCUUGGGCUCUCUAAGGUCUCUUUCAACACUUGAUUAUAAAGGACAAGGUGGUAUGUUAAGAGAGUUGUUGGGAUAGAGUGAUAUGAACUUUACACUAAGAAUAAUCACCACUGUAUGACUUUUACUCUUUAUCCUUGACAUUCUAGCUUAUAAAACCUAGCUCUCCUUAUAUAAGCUUGUGGCUCACUUUGAAGAUCUUGUUAUCAAAAUAUUAACUUAACCUUUCCCGGUAAGAAACUUGAUAACAAUCCAACCCAUCUGGGGAUCAAAAGAAAAAAAAUAAUCUCUUUUUGUUCCUGGUUGAAGAAUAAAUAUGACCCAGUUCAGUUAUUUGAAGGAAGAUAUAGAAAGUAAGAAGUCUCUCUAAUCAUGUAAAUAUUAAAUUCAGGCUAAAUGUUCUUUUUGAUUUCAGGCCACUGAGUUACGGUCAUAUUUUAUUUUAUCGGUGCAUGUUGUAAACCCCUGUGGUGGACCGACCUUGGGUCCUACUGCCAAUUUUUACUGCUUGAGAUGCUGCAUUAGUAUCUGAUAAAGGGAAUGCUGACAUUUUCUCCUCUCAGUAAUAAUCAGUAGCUGGGAAGAAAGAAAAGAAAAGUGUGUGUGAGGAGGUAACACCAUCCUCUAAUCUCCCUGUCAACUAGCCUCCUUAAGUGAAAUAAAGUCUUAAGUGAAGCCACUGAACUUGUCUACAAAGUCCCCUCUUUUUCAUAAUUUUCUUCACAACAAAACCCAUUUUUUUGGUGUGGCAAUUUCCCAAGUUUUAUCAUAUGAAAACUGGAAAGGAAUAUCUUUUUAAAAUUGAGGACAUAGGAAAAUACAUUUUUUAGUACAAUACAAUAAAUUUUACCCUAAAGACUCUCAGAUUAAUAAAGCUAUACUUGGCAUCUAUUUCACUGAUAAUGAGCCUAAGAGUGAUCAUUGAAUACCUGAAAAAUUAGUUUAAUCUCUAAGACAUUAUGUCAUUUAGCCAACUAGUCUUAGAACAAACAAUUAAGCUUCUUGUUACUAUAGAAACAUCCCAUCACCUUAAAAUUAGGAAAAAGGAAACAAUAAUGCUAUUUGACUGUUAACCAAAAUUUAAAGUAUUAUUAAAGUAAUUUAGUUUAUUACUUGUAUUUGAAGCUCGACUUGUCUAUAAUCUUUAAUUUCCUAACUAUCUUUAAAUAUUAAUACCAUUUAGUAUUAACUCUAGAUUCAUAUUUCUUCUAAGGUAGCAGUUUUAAAAAUACUGAAUAAAAGGCUUGACUGUUUUAAAUGUUGUGGUAUUAGUCAACUUUUUUAAUCCAACAGUAUACAUCAUCAUCUACAUUUUGGUUGUAAAGUAAGUACACUGCUAACUGAAAUUUUCUUUUCAUAGGUUGUACUUCUACUAUUUCAGGAGGUUGGUGGCGAGACAUUGUAAUAGAUGCUUAACAGUGGCUUUAAUUUAUCAUAUCUGAACAUACCACAAAGCACACGGCAGUCUUUCAUACCAAUUCCCCUGAGGUCUAGUAGAGCACAGGUUUUCAUUCUUGUGAUUUGGUGUCUUUAUUUUACUUGUACUAUUAUGUUGCUUUUUACAUCCUCUUAAGUAAGUCCAGAGAUUCCCACCAUCAACCUCUGAUGGUUGAAACAAAGUUCUCUCUUACUUAGUUAAAUUACAUUUAAGUAUUAGUUAUAGUGAAGGAACUUUCUUCACAAUACUCUAAAGCCCCAGAUGUGAAGGGGACAUCAUGAAGUUGCCUCUGAUAAUUUUUAAAUUCUCUCCUGUUACACAGUCAAGUGGGAGACCUCAGGACACACAAGAGGCUCUGUGUUUCCACAGAGUCUGCAAAGUUGUCUUACCCAUGGCUCCUUGCAAGACAGGAGAUAUUACCUUCAUACUGUGUGUGCUUGUGCAGAGAUGUGUUCACAUCUGCUCCAUUUAAGGCAGUCAUAUUCACUUAAAGCGUGAGGCACCUGCUAUUAAUUUUCUGAGGGCAAUAUAUACAUAGUUGUGAGAUUAAAUUUUCAAAAUCUAUGUUCAAGGGUAAAAUUUAUACUAAAACUUCAUCAUGAAUGUUUUCCAUCUGGAUUAUGUAAAUAUGAAUAUUAAGCACUUCAAAAUUAGCAAUAGUUCUGCUCAUGCUUUUUUAUUAGCUAUUUUCAUGUUUUCCAAAAUAUUAAAAGGUACUAGUUAGAAUUAAUUACUUUACAGCUAUGUAAUUCCUAGCUUAAAAAUGGUUGUCUUUAGAAUUCUGCAACACAUAACAAAAUGCUAAACAUAAGUCAAAAUUAAACUAUAACCUGAUAUUCAUGAACAACUUUUUUUUCAUGGAAUACUUCUGAAUUGUCAGGGAUGUAAUUUCACACCUUACUAAUAAUCGCUAUGUGAACUCUAAAUAUCAUGGACUUGCAGAAAAGCAGACUUGCUCAGAUAUCUGAUUAUUUUUAGAAAGUGCUCUAAAAUUAGGAGAUUUAAAAAACACAUGGUAAGGACUCAGACACACAACAUCUAUGAAUCACUAGCAUCACCAUAUAUGACAAUAUUUUUCUUCGGAUCAAAUUUUAUUUAAAAAUGAUUAGAUUGAAUAUUUAUAUAUUGCUGGCUUUUGAAGGUGUUGCUUUAUUUUAAAAAAAUUAUGCUUUUUGUUUUUUCCUUCACUGCAUUUCAAGUUGUCAGAUUUCUACGUAAGAAAACUGAGGCAUAUAGUAGUGGUUGGAAACUGUCUCCUGUGACACUUCUCUGAAUUGCAUUUGUUGUUCUGAACAUUCAGGUAAGCAAAAUUAUCUGUAUGUUCUCAUCACAUUUUCCUGAUUUAUGAGGAUUUAAGUAAUCUGGGCCCAAAUCAGAAUGCUUAUCACUUUUUUUUUUUUCUUUGUCAUUUUAGGGCCUCACCCUUGGCAAAUGGAAGUUCCCAGGCUAGGGGUCAAACUGGAGCUGCAACUGCUGGCCUACAUCAAAGCCACAGCAAUUCAUGAUCUGAGCUGCGUCUAUGACCCACACCACAGUUCAUGUCAAUGCUGAAUCCUUAACCCACUAAGCAAGGCCAGGGAUCAAACCUGCAUCCUUACGAAUAAUUCAUCACCAUUGCACCACCACAGGAACUCCAGAAUGCAUAUCACUUUAAAAACUUGUAAUGAAGAAAAACAUUAAGCACGAAUAAUGGAUGAAGGAAUUCUCUACUGGACAGUCCCUGUUCCCGUGAAGUGUCCCUGGCAUUAAAAAGAGGACACAUUCUGUAAAGGUACAGACUGCAUAUAAAUAAGAGCUAAAGAGAGGUGGUCUGAUUCAACAGAGGAAGCACCCAGGCUGAUGUUCUGGUUCUGCUACUUCUGUCUGACCUUGGACUUAAUAAGAUCACUUGACUUUUCCAAGCCUCUUAUGCCUCAUCUUCAAAAUGGGCCUUGAGGUUUUGUGGAAACCAAAGGAUACCAUGUGGGUCAGAGGACUCUGUCUACUUGAAGGCCCCUACGGAACCCUUAUGUAUUAACAAUCAAAUUUUCAAAUUAAAAUACUCUAGUGUAUUUUUCUUCCACUGCAGCCAGCAAACUGUCACUAUUAUACCUGGAGUGGGUGAUCAAGCACAAGAAGUUCCCAAAGUUCUAUUUCUGCUGUGAGGGAAAAAUGGAAAUAACUGGGCAAUGUUGGUACAUCCUAAGCCAAACAUAUAUAUAUGGCAUAUAUGGCAGGCGUACUGGACCAUGAAGUUAAUGAUGGCUACUAUCUUCCUUUGAGUUAAUGAUGCUUACUGCUAAUUGCUAUAAUCAAGAAAGUCUUAGCCAUUUAGAUAAUCAAGACAUUUUUCAAUUCAUAUGCAAGAUCAGUGUUUAGCAAAGAGAAGACAAAGCAGCAGGUAACCUUGAAAGUGGCAAUCAGGGCGUUUCUGUCUCAGCGCAGUAGCAACGAACUCAACUAAUAUCCAUGAGGAUGUGGGUUCAAUCCCUGGCCUCACUCAGUGGGUUAAGGAUCCGGCAUGGCCAUGAGCUAUGGUUAGGUCACAGAUGUGGCUCGGAUCCUGAGUUGCUGUGGAUGUGGUGUAGGUGGGCAGCUGUAGUUCCGAUUCAACCCCUGGCCUGGGAACUUCCAUAUGCCAUGGUACAGCCUUAAAAAAGACAUUAAAAAAAAAAAAAAAAAAAAAAAAAGGAAGUAGGAAUCAAACUCCAGUGGGCAAACUUGGCUUAUUUCCAUGGACAGAAAAGAGGUGAGUUGGAGCAGGGCUGGGAAAUUGCUAGAUGUUGGUAAGUAAUUAUCAAAACUAGAGGAAUUCUAGAGAGGCCUAGACUAGGGAAAGAGAGGAAGGAGAUAGCUUUUCUUCUGCAGUGGCAGUUAUGACAAGGACAGGAUACACCUGGCAGAAGGAAACUGAAGUUAGCAGAAGUAGUGAGCCCGAAAGAGAACCUUAUGAAGCAUUCUGCUUCCAGAGGAGGCACACAUAAAGUGAUUAGGGUGUCAUCUUGGAAGGUCAAGAAAAAACUCUAAAAGAGGGAAGGGAAUGUUCACUUGGUCAGACUGUGGAUUUCAUGUUAGUUUGGAUGAAAGAUGAGCAUCGUUGUGUAGCGCUCUGAAGGGGAUGUGUUAAGACAAAUUACAAUGACCAGGAUAAAUCUAUUGAAAGCUCUGGACCUAGGAGAUGCUGCAUAAGAGUUUCUGGAUCUGAGCUUCCUAUAUGUUCUGAACAACUGAUUAAUCACGUUGUUCAUUCAUCAGUUGAAGGACCCAUAUGGACCAAAAACUAUGCCAAGCACUGGGGAUGCAGUGAUGGAGAAGACACAGUCUCUGCCCUCCAGGAGCUCACAGACAAGCAAUAACUAAAACAGCAGUUAGUAUUAUGAGAAGGAUAAGCACAGGGCACCAAAUUCAGCUUCGGUGAGAUCAGAGAAGGCUCACCAGAAGAAGUGGGGCUUAUGUGGAGACUAGGAGUAUCCACUGUAGCCAGAGGAGGUGAUGGAGAAUAGCAUGUGCAAAGGUCCUGAGGCAGGAGAGGGCUUAGCAAAUGAGGGAAACGAAGCAGCUCAGUAUGGCUGGAGUAUGGACAGUGAAAGGGAAAUUGGCCAGACAUGGUGUAAAAAAGUAAGCAGAAGCCAGAUCAUAAAGGGUCUUGUGAAUAAUGAUCAGUGGAAUGGGGAAUCAGAGGGAGGCAGUGAAGAACCACUGAAGGGAAAGGAAAUGAAGCAAAUCUUCAAGCUUCAUUUUUUCACCUAAAAAAUUUAGAAAUCAUUCCACCUUCCUCAGUGAGUUAUACUAAAUACCAAAUAAAAAUGUAUGAGAACUUUGUAAAGUUUACUAAAAAAACCUUUCCCUCAACUUGCAGAAUAGUUUACAUUAAAUUUGUCUUCUUUGCAUGAAAGACAUGAAUUCCAUCAGCAUACAUACCAUGUACCAGCUCUUUAUCACUUAGCUUAUACUUCUUUGACAAGUGGGAAAAAAAAAAGGGAAACAAUAAAAAACACCAACUUUCCCUCUGCAGGUCAUUACUCAGGUCACAGGAGGCCCACUCUGACUUGCCAACUUAAAAAUCCAAUGGGCACACCCCCCCUCGCGGGUCCCUCUUAGCCUGCUCUACUUUUAUUUUUUCCAUUGCACUUAUUUCCUUUUGGCAUUCUAUAAUAUUUAUUAUGUAUUCAUUGAUAUAUAAGCUCCUUGAGUGCAAGGAUCUUCAUCAGUUUUUUUGUUUGUUUGUUUGUGGUUUUUUUUUUGUCUUUUUAGGGCCGCACCUGCAGCACAUGGAAGUUCCCAGACUAGGGGUCGAAUCAGAGCUGUCAAGUUGGAACCAGCCUACAUCAUAGCCACAGCAACUCAGGAUCCGAGCAGCAUCUGUGACCUACAUCACAGCUCAUAGCAAUGCCAGAUUCUUAACCCACUGAGGGAGGCCAGGGAUUGAACCCAUGUCCUCAUGGAUACUAGUUGGGUUUGUUACCGCUGACCCACAAUGGGAACUCCUUC